This 21-nucleotide small nuclear RNA is filed under the name Arabidopsis thaliana (thale cress). RNAcentral's name for it is "snRNA_09294". The record is from RNAcentral. Lineage: Eukaryota; Viridiplantae; Streptophyta; Magnoliopsida; Brassicales; Brassicaceae.
CUUGCCUUGAUUCUGUUUUCA